This is a non-coding RNA of Myotis brandtii (Brandt's bat), 83 nucleotides long. The record is from Rfam. NCBI's taxonomy places the organism in Eukaryota, Metazoa, Chordata, Mammalia, Chiroptera, Vespertilionidae.
AGACCCAGAGAGAGAGAGGCAGGGUCUGAUCCACAGCCUCAGUGGAAGCUGUUGAUCAGUUCUUGCCUCUUUCUUUCUCUCCC